RNAcentral lists this unclassified non-coding RNA (300 nucleotides) under uncultured Clitocybe. RNAcentral describes it as "sequence contains ITS2". The stretch from base 1 to 52 matches the Rfam family "5.8S ribosomal RNA", at positions 103 to 154 of the family's 154-position model. The record is from RNAcentral. Lineage: Eukaryota; Fungi; Basidiomycota; Agaricomycetes; Agaricales; Tricholomataceae.
AACGCACCUUGCGCUCCUUGGUAUUCCGAGGAGCAUGCCUGUUUGAGUGUCAUUAAAUUCUCAACCCUUUCGGCUUUUGCGAGCUGGAUUGGCUUGGAUAUGGGGGUUUGCGGGCUUCUCAGAAGUCGGCUCCUCUUAAAUGCAUUAGCGGAACCUUUGUGGACCAGCUUUGGUGUGAUAAUUAUCUACGCCAUGGUUGUGAAGCAGUUUUACAUGGGGUUCAGCUUCUAACCGUCCAUUGACUUGGACAAAUUCUGACAUUUUGACCUCAAAUCAGGUAGGACUACCCGCUGAACUUAA